Mesoplodon densirostris (Blainville's beaked whale) is the source of this 470-nucleotide long non-coding RNA. RefSeq lists it as uncharacterized. NCBI's taxonomy places the organism in Eukaryota, Metazoa, Chordata, Mammalia, Artiodactyla, Ziphiidae. The transcript has 3 exons. The record is from RefSeq and is a predicted model, not a curated record.
CGUGGAGAGACACUGAGAGACCUGGAGGCAAACCUGAGGGCAGGGCCCCACAGUCCCAGACACCCGACUGAUGGUCAGGGAUGCCCACCAGCACCGGCAGGCAGGCCCCCGAGCGUGGGCACACGCACCAGCCCUGGCACAGGAAGUCCUUCCCAGCGGGUGCUGAGUGACAGCCGCUUCAGUGGGGGCCUGGAGGUGCUGGCAGAGUGGACACCUGGCCUGAGCAACCUGCGACUCAGCUGCAACCCCAUCAAGGACACUGGAGCCCUGAAGCCCCUUGAGAAGCUGAAGGGCCUUCAGAACUUGGAGCUGUUCAACUUCGAGGAGUCACAGCAGCUGCGCUAACGGGAGCAGGAUUUUGAGUCAUUACCUGAACUUGGCUACCUGGAUGGCUUCGAUGCUGGGGACCCUGCUCAACUCUGAGACUGAGGCCAACAUGCUGGGGGAUGAAGAUUCUGAGGAGGACUAGG